GAGUUUGAUCAUGGCUCAGAUUGAACGCUGGCGGCAGGCCUAACACAUGCAAGUCGAGCGGAUGACGGGAGCUUGCUCCUUGAUUCAGCGGCGGACGGGUGAGUAAUGCCUGGGAAUCUGCCUGGUAGUGGGGGACAACGUUUCGAAAGGAACGCUAAUACCGCAUACGUCCUACGGGAGAAAGCAGGGGACCUUCGGGCCUUGCGCUAUCAGAUGAGCCUAGGUCGGAUUAGCUAGUUGGUGGGGUAAUGGCUCACCAAGGCGACGAUGCGUAGCCGACCUGAGAGGGUGAACGGCCACAUUGGAACUGAGAUACGGUCCAGACUCCUACGGGAGGCAGCAGUGGGGAAUAUUGCACAAUGGGGGAAACCCUGAUGCAGCAACGCCGCGUGAGUGAAGAAGGUUUUCGGAUCGUAAAGCUCUGUCAUCCGGGACGAUAAUGACGGUACCGGAAGAGGAAGCCACGGCUAACUACGUGCCAGCCGCCGCGGUAAC
Molecule: ribosomal RNA, 495 nt
Filed under: bacterium enrichment culture clone ALO1_GLFRUDD03HB1Y2
Lineage: Bacteria
Description: bacterial SSU rRNA
Rfam family: Bacterial small subunit ribosomal RNA
Source: RNAcentral